RNAcentral lists this long non-coding RNA (464 nucleotides) under Numida meleagris (helmeted guineafowl). RNAcentral's name for it is "lncRNA (ENSNMEG00000018584.1)". Lineage: Eukaryota; Metazoa; Chordata; Aves; Galliformes; Numididae. The record is from RNAcentral.
GUGAGCAUCUACGUAAACCUCUGCUUUCCUGCCAACAACAGCAGCAACCCGGCAGUCUUGAAGAUUUCACUUGUACUGCUCAGAACUAAACUCCAUAAGGUGCAUUUCCUAUUAGUGAACAGAAGUAUUUCCUACUUACACAGUACUUGUCUCCAUGGAUCUUCCAUCAAGUUAGCCCACAAGGAUCUGAGCCAGAAGGGGCAUUUGCUCCGUAGUGCUGCGUUGCUGGGGAGCUGGCUGGGCAUGACGGGGCUGCAGCUGGCCCGGGUGUUCCGUCCCUCAUCCACCUCUAGAGACACUCCCUGGAGCACGAGCAGUGAGACCAGGCAGGUCUGCAGCUGGAACGGCCAAGAAUUCCGCAUGCACACCGCAGCCCCUCUGAGGGGGAAAGAGGAACCGUGACACACGAGACAAAUUAAAAGCAUAUUAAAUAUGCAGUUCUACUUUCUAGCCAGGAACUGUUU